CUGAAACCCCCGGGUGGUUUCUGACCUUCUGGACGCUUGUGGCUGACGUGUGCUUGCCCGGUGCCGCUGUCUGCAGAGCUCCUUCCCGAGCAGGCGCCCGGAGCUGGAGCCUCUGCUUGGAGCUGGAUAUGGCUCGUGGACAACAGAAGAUUCAGUCACAACAGAAAAAUGCCAAAAAACAAGCUGAACAAAAAAAGAAGCAAGGACAUGAUCAGAAGGCUGCAGCCAAGGCUGCCUUGAUCUAUACCUGCACUGUCUGUAGGACACAAAUGCCAGACCCCAAGACCUUCAAACAGCACUUUGAGAGCAAGCAUCCUAAGACUCCACUUCCUCCAGAAUUGGCUGAUGUUCAGGCAUAAGUAAAAGUUUAACUAGUGGCACGUCCUUAGACUACUAAGUAUCAGAAGCACUUUAAUCUUUACUAGUGCAGCAGAAGGGACCUGGCUCUUGAUCGAGUUAUUGACACCAGCUUAAAUGAAAAAACAACCUUGAAUGUCAUGGUACAACUAAUGAAUGAAGUAUUUGCCUUGAAACAAAUGAUGUGAAUUCAUGGCACCUAUUGACUCUUCUACUGUCAGACCUUACAUAACAAACCUGCAGCUGCUUUUCUAACAAACUGUUGAUCAACAAAUAUGAAGGGGCUACAGAAACAUUCAUAUUUUUAUGCUGUUCCCUCUUGGGCUUCAUGCAAAGACAAUUCUGUGUAAAUGUACAGUUCUGCCCUACUUGGAAAUCCUGAAAAUCAGUCCAUACUUGUUAUAAAAAUUUUUUACAAUUGUAAUUAUAUUGAUGUUCAUAUUGUGUAAAAUAACUCAUUUAAUAAAGUAGUACUUUGAUUUUUACAAUAUCACAGGUUAAAUGCUUGUAGAAAUUCUGUUAAACUUUCCACAUUAUCUGCCUUAUGAAGUCCUAAUGAAGACAAAGUAGAAUUCUCCCCAUCCCACCAAAAAUUGGAAUGGUCUCAUUCUACUGAAAGUGAUGCACAUCAUAAUAAGUUUGAUCUAAGAAAAGAGGGAAACUGCUUGUAUAUUUACCUUUGUGUGCUACCAGCUUGAGUCAAGAAACUUAAAUCUUUUGAUGAUAGCUCAAGUGGCAUAGCCAGCUCUUUAGAGCUGCAUUAGAGUCAUGAAACUUCUACUUCUUGUUCCAUGUAUUGGGGAGUGUCAGUACUACAAGCCAUUUGGAACAGGGUUCCUUUAUUGUAAGGGAACUUGUUCCUUAGAGUCAUGCACUGGAGAGACUCUUGCUAGACAAGUAAACCUUAAUAUUUGGUAGACAGCUGGCAGAGCUUGAGAGUUAAUAACAUCUAACAAUCUCUGGCAUGCUGGUUUGAAUACAAUUAGCAAAUGCUAUAUCAGGUUGAAGUAAUUCUGCUUUUGGUUGUAAAAUUUAAUCUAAAAAGUUAGUGAAUGCACAUAACUAGUCAGUCGCAGGUUUCCCCUCAAAUGUCUCUGACUGUUUCUGUAACAACUUUGCAAGAGGAUACAAACUAAAUAGUGGUAUUUUUCAACUAACUUUAAAGUUAGUCUGUUUCUUCCCUUUCCAACAGGCUAACUAGAAAUGACAUAGCUAGUUAAGCUUCAGUCAGUUCUGACUUACACUUUUCCUCGAUAAAACUUAUGUAAAAUUGAACACACCCAGCCAAGAGCACUUGAGAAAAGAGCUUUAAUAAUUUAGCUCUUAUGAUUAUGAUUUAAUAAUCAUUUAGCUUUAAUAAUGUGUAAUUUGGGCUAGAUUCUAAUCUCAGAUGUGAAAAAGCAUUGCUAGUAUAUUUCAGAGUGCUGCCUGAGGAUCUACAGUACAGUAGGACAUCCUAAAAGCAUAUGGUCUAGGAUUACCUAACAGUCACUCUUCUGAAAUUGAUUGCAGUGAGGGACAGUCAUACUGUGAAUGAGGGACAUGUAUUCAUAGUAUGAAUUUCUCAGAUUUGUUAUUUGUCCUUGCUUGUAACAGGUCUUUCAUUUCUGGCAGAUCAAAUAACUCCUGCUACAUGAUUGGACUCUGCCUGACUUCCCAAUGGUUUCCUAAAAUACAGGACCAUAUUCUUGAAGAGUGAUUUACUUAAAGGAAUGCAUGAAACAGAUGGUACUUAUAAUAUAUCAGUCAAAGCCUUUGUCUCUGUCCACCUAUUUACCCUUUAAUUUAGCUACUUUUUGGAGGUUAGCCUUCUAGCCAUCUUACUAUAACUGCAAGGCGUAUUUCUGUAAAUGUUCACUUUGGCAUGAAAUUCAACUGCGUUAUAGUUGCUCUGGGAUAACCUGUAUACCACUCUACCUUUUUAUAGAUCUUGCUAUUGAGAAUAAUCCACUACUGCACUUGCACACCUGACAUCAGAAUGUAGCCCUUCAUUUAUUUCCUUUUAAUGUUCUAAAUCAAUCCAAUAAUUGUAUCUUGACAGACUGACUCCCAGGAGGCAAGAAAUCUUUCAACUUUGUCCUGUUGGGGUACUUAAGUGUUCUGACUGUGUAGCUUGUCUAAGGAAUGAGUAUACACCAAGCAAGAUGUUUCUUGCACUGAUUGAUACUUGGUAAUCUGCUUUUAACCUGAGACUUAUUUUGGGAUGCAUCCUUAAAACUCAGUCCUAAAACAAAGCACAUGUUCUGUUGCUUGAAUUCCAAUUUGUGUAGCACCAAAUAAAAAUGACUUUGUUUCAUAACAAUCUCAGUUAACAAGCAAAUAAGCGGAAAAGCUGCAUUAUGCUGGUAGGACAUAACUUGCUUGCAUAAGAAUCUUUUGCUGUAUUUUCAGUACUGUAUGACUCUUUAAUAUGAAAGUAUCAGUAUCAACUCUUUCUGUUACAGAGUAGAAGGUGUGGGUGAUCUUCUAUUCUAUUAAAAUUCCUACUUGCAGCUGUUACAAUCUGACAUAUUGUAAUAACCUGAUCAGUAAAAACAUCAUGGAAUUGUUUUGGAAACUCAAAAGUGCAGGACUAAAUGGGGGAAUUGUCCUCAUUGGUAUUACCUGCACAUGCUUGUAUUGAUUUAAAAGGAUGCAGGUAAGGAGUAGGUGAGAUCCUCUGCUCUCCUGAUCAUAUGGAUGACACCUUGUUAAUUCCGGCUAAAAAGACACUGUUGUGCUUUGUAACGUGUCUGAUUAAAGACGAUUUAAAACCUAAA
Alligator sinensis (Chinese alligator) is the source of this 3116-nucleotide RNA transcript. It is a transcript of the gene named zinc finger protein 706, with no coding region annotated. NCBI's taxonomy places the organism in Eukaryota, Metazoa, Chordata, Crocodylia, Alligatoridae. The transcript is spliced from 5 exons. The record is from RefSeq and is a predicted model, not a curated record.